CCCCGGGCAACGCCGAGUCCUGCCCGCCCGGGGCGGACCCCCGAGAACGUAACUUGGGCAGGAGUGGGGGACCCACAGGUUCCACCGCCGGACCGGACGACCCGGGACGGCUUGGGGUGAAGCCACUCACGAGUGGCGGAGCACUUUCCAGCUCCAACCCGACAGCUCACCUCACAGGCGUGGGAAAGGACUU
RNAcentral lists this small RNA (193 nucleotides) under Nocardioides sp. Its description in RNAcentral is "c-di-AMP sequence". The stretch from base 38 to 193 matches the Rfam family "c-di-AMP riboswitch aptamer (ydaO/yuaA leader)". From Rfam's summary of the family: This family represents a conserved RNA structure found upstream of the ydaO and yuaA genes in Bacillus subtilis and related genes in other bacteria. The ydaO/yuaA element is thought to act as a genetic "off" switch for the ydaO and yuaA genes in its native state. It is believed that the element may be triggered during osmotic shock leading to activation of ydaO, a predicted amino acid transporter gene, and members of the yuaA-yubG operon which code for KtrA and KtrB K+ transporters. The record is from RNAcentral. Lineage: Bacteria; Bacillati; Actinomycetota; Actinomycetes; Propionibacteriales; Nocardioidaceae.